Molecule: long non-coding RNA, 358 nt
Filed under: Dromaius novaehollandiae (emu)
Lineage: Eukaryota; Metazoa; Chordata; Aves; Casuariiformes; Dromaiidae
Description: lncRNA (ENSDNVG00000007319.1)
Source: RNAcentral
AGAUGACAGAAACCCGAGCAAGGAGGCGCUGAGGAUGCGAGGCUCGCCCCGCGCUCCGCACAAGGACUUGAGCUGCGGCGCCGAGGGGAGGCGUCCUGCGCGGCCGCGGGGGCGGGCGCACUUCGCCCGGCCGCACCGCGGUACUUAAGCUCAUUCAGCCACAUGCAAACUUUCUGCACUAGCUGACGGACUUUCAGCUUCCAUCAAAACCUGGCAACCUGGCAUUGCUGCUAUGAUGACAGCAUUAGAAAACUGGCAUCUCAUGGGAGACAAGUCAGUUUACAUCAAUGGAAAUGGAUUUACACUGCAUCCUGGAUUCUGUACAAACAGGGAUUUGCUGGUUGUUCUUCUUUUCUGA